UACGUAGGUGGCAAACGUUAUCCGGAUUUAUUGGGUGUAAAGGGCGUGUAGGCGGGAAUGCAAGUCAGAUGUGAAAACUCAGGGCUCAACCCUGAGCCUGCAUUUGAAACUGUAUUUCUUGAGUGCUGGAGAGGCAAUCGGAAUUCCGUGUGUAGCGGUGAAAUGCGUAGAUAUACGGAGGAACACCAGUGGCGAAGGCGGAUUGCUGGACAGUAACUGACGCUGAGGCGCGAAAGCGUGGGGAGCAGACAGG
RNAcentral lists this ribosomal RNA (253 nucleotides) under uncultured bacterium. RNAcentral describes it as "partial 16S ribosomal RNA". It matches the Rfam family "Bacterial small subunit ribosomal RNA", at positions 524 to 776 of the family's 1533-position model. The record is from RNAcentral.